AGUGAACGCUGGCGGUAGGCCUAACACAUGCAAGUCGAACGGCAGCACAGGAGAGCUUGCUCUCUGGGUGGCGAGUGGCGGACGGGUGAGGAAUACAUCGGAAUCUACUCUGUCGUGGGGGAUAACGUAGGGAAACUUACGCUAAUACCGCAUACGACAUAAGGGUGAAAGCAGGGGACCUUCGGGCCUUGCGCGAUUGCAUGAGCCGAUGUAGGAUUAGCUAGUUGGCGGGGUAAAGGCCCACCAAGGCGACGAUCCGUAGCUGGUCUGAGAGGAUGAUCAGCCACACUGGAACUGAGACACGGUCCAGACUCCUACGGGAGGCAGCAGUGGGGAAUAUUGGACAAUGGGCGCAAGCCUGAUCCAGCCAUACCGCGUGGGUGAAGAAGGCCUUCGGGUUGUAAAGCCCUUUUGUUGGGAAAGAAAUCCAGCUGGCUAAUACCCGGUUGGGAUGACGGUACCCAAAGAAUAAGCACCGGCUAACUUCGUGCCAGCCGCCGCCGUAA
Molecule: ribosomal RNA, 506 nt
Filed under: uncultured bacterium
Lineage: Bacteria
Description: partial 16S ribosomal RNA
Rfam family: Bacterial small subunit ribosomal RNA
Source: RNAcentral